This 541-nucleotide ribosomal RNA is filed under the name Aureobasidium proteae. Its description in RNAcentral is "eukaryotic LSU rRNA". It matches the Rfam family "Eukaryotic large subunit ribosomal RNA", at positions 80 to 636 of the family's 3401-position model. Lineage: Eukaryota; Fungi; Ascomycota; Dothideomycetes; Dothideales; Saccotheciaceae. The record is from RNAcentral.
CUAGUAACGGCGAGUGAAGCGGCAACAGCUCAAAUUUGAAAGCUAGCCUUCGGGUUCGCAUUGUAAUUUGUAGAGGAUGAUUUGGGGAAGCCGCCUGUCUAAGUUCCUUGGAACAGGACGUCAUAGAGGGUGAGAAUCCCGUAUGUGACAGGAAAUGGCACCCUAUGUAAAUCUCCUUCGACGAGUCGAGUUGUUUGGGAAUGCAGCUCUAAAUGGGAGGUAAAUUUCUUCUAAAGCUAAAUAUUGGCGAGAGACCGAUAGCGCACAAGUAGAGUGAUCGAAAGAUGAAAAGCACUUUGGAAAGAGAGUUAAAAAGCACGUGAAAUUGUUGAAAGGGAAGCGCUUGCAAUCAGACUUGUUUAAACUGUUCGGCCGGUCUUCUGACCGGUUUACUCAGUUUGGACAGGCCAGCAUCAGUUUCGGCGGCCGGAUAAAGGCUCUGGGAAUGUGGCCUCCACUUCGGUGGAGGUGUUAUAGCCCAGGGUGUAAUACGGCCAGCCGGGACUGAGGUCCGCGCUUCGGCUAGGAUGCUGGCGUAAUG